Sardina pilchardus (European sardine) is the source of this 811-nucleotide long non-coding RNA. RefSeq lists it as uncharacterized. The record is from RefSeq and is a predicted model, not a curated record. The transcript has 4 exons. NCBI's taxonomy places the organism in Eukaryota, Metazoa, Chordata, Actinopteri, Clupeiformes, Clupeidae.
CACUUGAUUAUCCAACUUUCAGAACCAAUUGUUGCAUUCCCCAUGAUCACGUUUAGCUUUUUGUAAAUGCUAUGCUUUUCUGGGAAGCCAUGUGACUUGUGACACACCUUAACUUGACGGCAUAUUUAAGAACAGGGAAACAACACGAACACAGAGGGAGAGUCACCAAGUGAACUGAAGAUAACCAGUCAACUGAAGAGAAGUGCUCACUGCCCAGCUUUCUAACCCCAAUAGACACACACACAAUCACAAACAGCUUUCUAACCAACCCCACCAGACUCACUGAUAUAACAAACACACACACACACACACACACACACACACACACACAACCACAGACAUGUUUCAGGCAUCUCCUGGCAUCAUGAUGGCCCAGCCCUCUGUGAUGAUGGCCCAGCCCCCUGUCAUGGUGGCCCAGCCCCCUGUGAUGGUAGUCCAGCCCCCUGUGAUGGUAGCCCAGCCCCCUGUGGUCAUCCAGACCAACACUCCGACUGGUGCCGUUCCAGGAAACGUGGCGAUUGCCUCCAGCAAACUGGGGAGCAGACCCACCAUCACCACCUGCAGCAACUGCAGACAGCGUGUGGAGACUAAAGUCCGUUACACAAAAGGAUGUUUCUCUUGGAGUAUGUGCACCCUAAUGUUCUGUUUUGGGAUAGUGUGUGGAUGCUGCCUGAUCCCUUUCUUCUCAAAGAGCUGCAAAGAUGCCCAUCACUCCUGUCCUCAGUGUAAUGCUGACCUGUGUGUGCACAAGAAAUGCUGCUGUUAACAACACACUCAAAUGCCUUAUUAAAAAUCAUAACUUUUUACCAUU